RNAcentral lists this ribosomal RNA (460 nucleotides) under uncultured bacterium. RNAcentral's name for it is "partial 16S ribosomal RNA". It matches the Rfam family "Bacterial small subunit ribosomal RNA", at positions 338 to 795 of the family's 1533-position model. The record is from RNAcentral.
CCUACGGGAGGCAGCAGUGAGGAAUAUUGGUCAAUGGGCGCAAGCCUGAACCAGCCAAGUAGCGUGAGGGAUGAAGGCCCUAUGGAUUGUAAACUUCUUUUAUAAGGGAAUAAAGUGCGGGACGUGUCCCGUUUUGUAUGUACCUUAUGAAUAAGGAUCGGCUAACUCCGUGCCAGCAGCCGCGGUAAUACGGAGGAUCCGAGCGUUAUCCGGAUUUAUUGGGUUUAAAGGGAGCGUAGGCGGCCUUUUAAGUCAGCGGUGAAAGUCUGUGGCUCAACCAUAGAAUUGCCGUUGAAACUGGGAGGCUUGAGUAUGUUUGAGGUAGGCGGAAUGCGUGGUGUAGCGGUGAAAUGCUUAGAUAUCACGAAGAACCCCGAUUGCGAAGGCAGCCUGCCAAGCCAUGACUGACGCUGAUGCACGAAAGCGUGGGGAUCAAACAGGAUUAGAUACCCUGGUAGUC